This 253-nucleotide ribosomal RNA is filed under the name uncultured bacterium. Its description in RNAcentral is "partial 16S ribosomal RNA". It matches the Rfam family "Bacterial small subunit ribosomal RNA", at positions 524 to 776 of the family's 1533-position model. The record is from RNAcentral.
UACGGGGGGGGCAAGCGUUGUUCGGAAUUACUGGGCGUAAAGGGCGCGUAGGCGGAUUGGCAAGUCGGUCGUGAAAUCCUUCGGCUCAACCGAAGAACGUCGAUCGAAACUGCCGUUCUUGAGGAUUGCAGAGGAGACUGGAAUUCCCGGUGUAGCGGUGAAAUGUGUAGAGAUCGGGAGGAACACCGGUGGCGAAGGCGGGUCUCUGGGCAAUUCCUGACGCUGAGGCGCGAAAGCGUGGGGAGCAAACGGG